AUUGAACGCUGGCGGCAGGCCUAACACAUGCAAGUCGAGCGAGCGGCGGACGGGUGAGUAAUGUCUGGGGACCUGCCUGAUGGAGGGGGAUAACUACUGGAAACGGUAGCUAAUACCGCAUACCAUCAGAUGUACCCAUAUGGGAUUAGCUAGUAGGUGGGGUAACGGCUCACCAAGGCCACGAUCCCUAGCUGGUCUGAGAGGAUGAUCAGCCACACUGGGACUGAGACACGGCCCAGACUCAUACGGGAGGCAGCAGGGGGGAAUAUUGCACAAUGGGCGCAAGCCUGAUGAAGCCAUGCCGCGUGAAUGAAGAAGGCCUUCGGAUCGUAAAAUACUUUCAGUCGGGAAGCGGUACCGACAGAAAAAGCAACGGCUAACUACGUGCCAGCAGCCGCGGUAAUAC
RNAcentral lists this ribosomal RNA (406 nucleotides) under uncultured bacterium. Its description in RNAcentral is "partial 16S ribosomal RNA". It matches the Rfam family "Bacterial small subunit ribosomal RNA", at positions 30 to 526 of the family's 1533-position model. The record is from RNAcentral.